Molecule: long non-coding RNA, 5505 nt
Filed under: Hordeum vulgare
Lineage: Eukaryota; Viridiplantae; Streptophyta; Magnoliopsida; Poales; Poaceae
Description: long non-coding RNA (HVUL_LNC017039)
Source: RNAcentral
CCCGGCCCGACCGCCACGCCGGGGCCGGCCUACUUAAACCCGGCAGCUUCGCGUCGGGAGCCGGCGUGCCGGCGGCGGGCGGGGCGGGGCCGCCUCCCAGCUUCUGCUCCCCUGUCGGCAGAACCGCACCGCUUCGUCCCCAGCUACCUCACCGCACCGUCCUUCCGCUUCAUCGGUAACUCUCGUCUAGGAUCUACUCCAUAGAUGCGUCGCUUCUUCCCAUUGCCCAUCUUGCGCCUCGAGGCUAGCUACUCCGAGAUCCGCGUGUAUAGGGUUCAGCCGGUCAGAGAGCCAGCGAGGUUCACGUUGUUUCCCCCCAAUGUUUGUUGCGGUAGCGAGACGAGAUGCAUAGCGCCCCGCGCCGAAUCUGCUUCUUCCUAAUCAAAUUAGUCUGAUAUAUAUAUACUCCAGCGACGACCGAUUUCGUUCUAUGUCGUUCCAAUUCCUGAGAGCGCGGGGAUGCUGAGUGCUGCGUGGUGCUCGCUCACGGGACAUCUGAGGAGCCCGGUUCCUUUGUUUUGUUGGUCAAUGCUCGCUCGGUGCACUCUUCUUACUUCGGUGGCCUUCUCCGAGAUCCUUGUUCGGGUUUUCCGAACUGUUAAAUGCUGUUGGCAUUUGGUCGAAUCCGACACGACAGGCAAAUGCAUGCGGUGCUUCAGAUAUGACCCUGUUUGACAGCAUUUCUACUAGUAGUUUGAAUAGUGCAGUGUGCGGAAAUGCAAUUAAUCGCCUCCUUGCGGUGUGGGGAUGCUCUAGUGAUGACUUAUUUAUUUCACCUUGUAUGCCGUUCCAAUUCCUGAAAGUGCACGUCCAUGGGAUGCCGCACAUUGUGUGGAGCACAAGGGACAUCUGAGGAGUUUAAUUUGUUUUUAUUCUUGCUCAAUGCGUCCAGAACCCUUUUCUAUUCCAGUGUUCUUUGUUGAGUUGUCCGGUUGUCAAACUACUUUCAUGCUGCCGACAAGGGGCUAAAUUAGCAUGGGUUUACGCCUAGGGCUAAAUUAGCUUCAAUGGUGUAUUUUAGAGAUUUUUUGUACUUUGUAAGUAGGUAUUACAAAUACUAUUGUCACUACAUCUAGGGCUAUAGCCCCAUUUGCCAUAGGCUUGAUUCCGCCACUUCUGCCGAUGGUUGGUCUUGUAUGAUAUACCAUAAGUGAACAUGUCUACAACUUGAAAUGAUUCAUUUUCUAGAUUUCAGGUUUCAAAUGUUGCAAUGUAACAAAUUUGCUUCCUUAAGGCGUGGGAUGCUCCUGUGAUGACUUGUUUCGCCUCAUAUAUCGGUUCCAAUUCCUGAAAGCACAUCCACGAGAUGUUGCACGUUAUGUGGAGCAGAAGGGACAUCUGUGGAGUUAAAUGCUGGGAAAACUUUCAUUUAUUUAUUUCAGUGUUCUGCAUUCUGUUGUUCGAUUGCCAAACUAUUUUCAUGCUGCUGAACGUUGGUUGAAUUUGAUACCAUAUGUGAUCAUGUGCAUAUAACUUCAAAUGAUUCCUUUUAAGUUUCUGGUAUAAAAUGGUGCAGUGUAUCAAAUCUGCUUCCUGUAUGUGUGGGGAUACUCCAGUGAUGACUUACUUCACCUCAUAUAUCGUUCCAAUUCCUGAAAGCACAUCUACCGGAUGAUGCACAUUAUGUGGAGCAGAAGGGACACCUGAGGAGUUCAGUUUGCUUCUUCUAUUGCUUAAUGUUUGGAUAAAUCUUUCUAUUUUAAGUGUUGUUGUUGGAUAAUUUGUUUUCAUUUUAAUUUUUUCAUGCUGUUUGACACUUGGUUGAAACUGAUACCACAUGCAAACAUGUGUGGAGCAUCACAUAUGAUUAUUUUUUAUUGAGAUUUCUGGUUUGGCCUUCCGUUUCUUUUUGGGUGUUGUUGCAACUUUGUGUGGAACAUCGAAACAUCUUACGAGCAAUACGACUCGGCAAACCAAAUAAUGAGUUACAAAAACAAUAUAUAUUUUGAGACUGUUAGUCUGACUGGUUUACAAACUCUAGGCGUUGAAUCACAGAACUGACACUGUAUCUGCUAAUAUGAUUCUAUUUAUUUAUUUGCUCUUGUUCAGUGAAGUAGAAGGGGCAUCUGAGGAGUUUAAUCCAUUUUAUUCUUGCGCAGUUUGUGGAGAACCAUUUUUAUUUCACUGUUCUUCGCUGAAGCCUUGUUUGAUUCAGAAACUGUUUUCAUUUUCACUUUGCCCACAGCUACAGCUGGUUGGCUUUCAUACCGUAAGCGAACAUGUAUAACUUCAAAUGGUCCUUUUUUUCAAGAUUUCUGCUUUCAAAUGAUGCAAUAUAUCGACUUUGCUUAGUUAAGGUGUCAAACACUCCAGUGAUGACUUGUUUCGCCUUGUAUAUCGUUCCAAUUCCUGAAAACACAUCCAUGGGAUGCUGCACAUUUUGUGGAGCAAAAGGGACAUCUGAGGAGUUUCGUUUGUUUUUUUCUUGCUAAAUGUUUGAACAACUCUUUUUUAUUUCUGUGUUCUUCAUUGAGUCCGUUCGGUUUCCGAACUAUUUUCAUGCUGUCAUAAGUUGGUUGAAUUUGAUGCUAUAGGUGAAGGUGUAUAUAACUUCAAAUGGUUCCUUGAUUUAUGGUUUGAAAUGGUGCAAUGUACCAAAUCUGCUUCCUUAGGUGUGGGAUACUCCAGUGAUGACUUAUCUCACGUUGUAUAUCGUUCCAAUUCCUGAAAAAGCAUCCAUGGGAUGCUGCCCAUUUUGUGGAGCAAAAGGGACAUCUGAGGAGUUUAAUUUGUUUCUUUUCUCACUUAAUGUUUGGCCAACUCUUUUUGGUCCACUGUUCUUUAUUGAGUUGUUCGAUUUCCAAACUAUCACACUGCCGAUCAUUGGUUGAGUUUGAUAUCAUAGGAGAACAUGUGUAUAACUUCAAAUGGUUCCUUUUAAGAUUUCUGGUUUGACAUGGUGCGAUGUGUUAAGUCUGCUUCCUUAAGCUGUGGGAUACUCCAGUGAUGACUUAUUUCGCUUGUAUAUCGUUCCAGUUCCUGAAAGCACGUCCAUGGAUGCUGCACAUUUUGUGGAACAGAAGGGACAUCUGAGGAGUUCAAUUUGUUUAUUUUCUCGCUUACUGUUUGGAUAACUCUUUUCAUGUUACAUAUUGUUCUGGAGAAUUUGUUUGAUUUUGAUAUUUCUCAUGCUGUUUGACACUUGGUGAAUUUGAUAGAGACAUGCUACCUCAAAUUUUGGCUGCUCUUGGAACUUAGAUAGACAUCAGCGUUAUCUACCCCGGUACAAGUCGACAGAGCAAACGUUACCUGGUGUCAAUGGUAGGCCUAUAAAAGACCCCUCUUUGCUCUUUCACAAUUACAGACUGCUUAGUGAAAUGUGUUUUUCCUCGUAAAGUAGAUCGCUGCUGUUUUCUGUAUGCUGAUACAAUCAUACUCAUUAGACAGCUUGGUUUGCUAUUUUUGCAUGCAGGCUUGCUCCUACGGCCAGCAAACCUGCGAGGAUCUUCAAAUUUGAGUAUUUCUUUUUCAAGAUUUCUGGUUUGGUCUUUGGUGUAUUUUUGUAGCCUUUCCGAGUGAUACAACUUGGCGAGCCAAAUCAUUAGUUACAGAAACAAUAGAUAGUUUCAUAUUGUUAGUCUAACUGGUUUACAAACUCUAGGCGCUGAAUCACUUAAUUGAACUUGUAUCUGCUAAUCUGAUGAUAUUUACUUAUGUGUUUUGUUAGAUUAAGUAUUAGCAAGCAUUUGUUCACCAAUGGAGAAACCAACACUAGUUGCAAGUAUUGAUGAUCCAUUUGGUGGUCUUCAUCUGCUUUGCGCUUGACUACAAUCUCACAAGAAGCAUUUUUCUUGUGUGCAGAGUUAAUCACCCAGUUUCUCUUAAGCUCCUAAUCAAGGCAGGUGACUGAUUGAUUGCCUUGAUGCUUGAAUAACUGAGCAAUAUUCAACUGAUGGGGCCUCUCUUUUUUUUUUUGACCUACACUACAAGAGAAUGGGCUGAGAAAGUCAGGGAGGAGCUUGCUGACAGUGUUGGUCAUCGGAUGUUUUCCUCCGAAAGCAGCUCGGGUUAGGCACGAAAGCCAGGGUUGGAAGAUGGUUGCAACCAUGGGGUGAUGUGGGGCCGUGUCCAGGGUCUCGGCCACAACACAGCAGGGCUGUGAGCAGUCUCAGCCUGGCAUCAUGCAAACACAAACAGCUAACAUCCCAGUUCUCCACCUCGCAUGUGUUUCACCGCAUGAUUCUGCAGUCACAAGCUGCAACCCAGCAUAGUGAAUAGUGAGGGAUCCUGCUCACCCAUUUGCUGUAUUCAUCCCACCUCGCGUGCCCCUGUUUUCUGGGUUAACCACCGCUUUACUUUUAACACUGUCAAUCCUGUACAGAUGCACUCCCUUGCCUUAACUGUUUCGAGAAUCUGAUACUACACUACAUGAAAGCUUCACAUGUGAGUAAUUUUUGUCGAGAUUUGUGGUUUGGCCUUUCUUUUCUUUUCUGGGUGUUGCUGCAAACUUGUGUGGAACAUCCAAACAUUUUCCUAGUAUUACAGAAACAAUAGAUAUUUUGAUAUUGUUAGCCUUAACUGUUUUACAAACUCUAGGCAUUGAAUCACAGAGCUGAUGCUGGAUCUGCUAAUGUGAUGCUGUUUAUUUACUUGCUUAGUUCAUUCAAGUUUUAUCCAGCUUUUGUUCACCAUUGGAGAAACCAACACUGGUUGUAACUAUUUAUGGUCCACUGUAGUCUUCAUCUGCUCUGCACCUCACUAUAAUCUCAUAAGUCUUUUCUUCUCUGCAGAGUUAAUGACCCAGUUUCUCUUAAGCUCCUGAGCAAGGCAGGUGGUGGCCUUGAUGCUUGAAUAACCAAGCAAUAUUUGAAAGAUUGGUUUCCUUGCAUUGUGGGAUUGAGACCUUUAAAAUUGUUCUCCAUUUGUGUGACCCGCGCUACAAGAGAAGGUCUUGACAAAGCCAGGUUGGAACUUGUUGACAAAGUUUGUCAUCAAAUGUUAGCCUCCGAAGCUCGGGUCGGACACGAAGCCAGGGCUGGAAGAUGGUUGCGACCAUCAGGGGCGGAGCCAGUAUCUGGACAUGAGGGGGCGGAGCCAGGAUCUGGACAAUGUUCACAACAGUCGCGGGAUGUCAAUGAUAUGUUAAGUCCCGUGAUAGCGUUGAUGAUAAAUCUUCAAAAUACAUAUCUGGAACGAGAAAAGAAUGUAACAUUUCUGUUAACUUAAAUUUAGCCCUACAACCGCCCGUGUUACAAAAGUUCACUAUUUUCCUUACUGAUAUAGACAGUCAUAUAAUGUCGAAGAAAAUCGUCUUCAUUCUGUUUCAAAAACAUGUCUGUUGACACUGAAAGAGUUAACUGCAUUAAUCGAUGAUAGUUUUACUUGUUUAAUAUAAUCCAACGGUCAAAUCAAUAAGUGAAGAUGGUAUAUUUAGGUCUAGAUGGUUGCAAGCAUCCAGUGAGAUAUGUGCAAGUUUAGAGUCAAAUUAAGACCGUUCUUAACUAGAAAUGACUAUAAGAUUUAAAAAAAAUCCUAUGUGCAUAUCUUAGACACAUUGAAUAACUC